GGGGCCCGCACAAGCGGUGGAGCAUGUGGUUUAAUUCGAUGCAACGCGAAGAACCUUACCUGGUCUUGACAUCCACAGAACUUUCCAGAGAUGGAUUGGUGCCUUCGGGAACUGUGAGACAGGUGCUGCAUGGCUGUCGUCAGCUCGUGUUGUGAAAUGUUGGGUUAAGUCCCGCAACGAGCGCAACCCUUAUCCUUUGUUGCCAGCGGUUAGGCCGGGGAACUCAAAGGAGACUGCCAGUGAUAAACUGGAGGAAGGUGGGGGAUGACGUCAAGUCAUCAUGGCCCUUACGACCAGGGCUACACACGUGCUACAAUGGCAUAUACAAAGAGAAGCGACCUCGCGAGAGCAAGCGGACCUCAUAAAGUAUGUCGUAGUCCGGAUUGGAGUCUGCAACUCGACUCCAUGAAGUCGGAAUCGCUAGUAAUCGUAGAUCAGAAUGCUACGGUGAAUACGUUCCCGGGCCUUGUACACACCGCCCGUCACACCAUGGGAGUGGGUUGCAAAAGAAGUAGGUAGCUUAACCUUCGGGAGGGCGCUUACCACUUUGUGAUUCAUGACUGGGGUGAAGUCGUAACAAGGUAACCGUAGGGGAACCUGCGGUUGGAUCACCUCCUUACCUUAAAGAA
RNAcentral lists this ribosomal RNA (629 nucleotides) under Klebsiella pneumoniae. RNAcentral describes it as "bacterial SSU rRNA". It matches the Rfam family "Bacterial small subunit ribosomal RNA", at positions 916 to 1533 of the family's 1533-position model. Lineage: Bacteria; Pseudomonadati; Pseudomonadota; Gammaproteobacteria; Enterobacterales; Enterobacteriaceae. The record is from RNAcentral.